UUAACCCUAUUCUUUUGAACAAAACAAAUCCCUUCUAUUUUUUUGAACAAAGCAAAUCGCUUUCUUGUAGAUAAUCUUUAUUUCAACACUUUAUUUCUUGAUCAAGUUUUUGUCGUUCUUCCAUAGAAUCUAUCCAUCGCAGGUGCUUCAGUUUUUGUCCGUUCUUCCAUACCGAAUCUAUCCAUGGCAGGUGCUUUAGAAAACAUGGCCGGCAUAAACAUUGUCGUAUCACUACCUAACUGGUCCUCUGCUCAAAAAACCAGUUCAGAAUAUGACAAGGCAAUCAACAACCUACAAGUGAAGUAGAGAACAUACAUCGUCGAGUACGACUUCAAAAGUAUUUUGAAUUUUCAAGUGGUUGGUUGCUUUGGUGCAUGAAUUCUACCCUAAUUGUUUAAAAUAGUACUGUUUUUUGCUUCAAUCUAUAUAUCAGUUUGAAAAUAAAUAGUGACAUUGAAAAUACCAACAAUUUUGCAUAUUUCAUUGAAAUGUAUUGUGCUCUCAACUUGAAGGCAUUUUGGGUUAUUGCAACAUAUUGAGUUUUUUUAUAUUUGGUGUUCAGAAGAAGAUUAUAUC
Molecule: long non-coding RNA, 576 nt
Organism: Medicago truncatula (barrel medic)
Lineage: Eukaryota; Viridiplantae; Streptophyta; Magnoliopsida; Fabales; Fabaceae
Exons: 5
Source: RefSeq, a predicted model, not a curated record